AUUGAACGCUGGCGGCAUGCUUUACACAUGCAAGUCGAACGGCAGCACGGGGGCAACCCUGGUGGCGAGUGGCGAACGGGUGAGUAACACAUCGGAACGUGCCCAGUUGUGGGGGAUAACCCAUCGAAGGGUGGGCUAAUACCGCAUGAGCUGGCAACAGGAAAGCGGGGGACCCGCAAGGGCCUUGUGCGAUUGGAGCGGCCGAUGUCCGAUUAGCUAGUUGGUGGGGUAAAGGCCUACCAAGGCUUCGAUCGGUAGCUGGUCUGAGAGGAUGAUCAGCCACACUGGGACUGAGACACGGCCCAGACUCCUACGGGAGCAGCAGUGGGGAAUUUUGGACAAUGGGGGCAACCCUGAUCCAGCCAUGCCGCGUGAGUGAAGAAGGCCUGGUUGUAAGUACGUAC
Molecule: ribosomal RNA, 404 nt
Filed under: uncultured bacterium
Lineage: Bacteria
Description: bacterial SSU rRNA
Rfam family: Bacterial small subunit ribosomal RNA
Source: RNAcentral